RNAcentral lists this ribosomal RNA (497 nucleotides) under uncultured bacterium. RNAcentral describes it as "partial 16S ribosomal RNA". It matches the Rfam family "Bacterial small subunit ribosomal RNA", at positions 28 to 507 of the family's 1533-position model. The record is from RNAcentral.
GACGAACGCUGGCGGCGUGCCUAAUACAUGCAAGUUGAGCGAUUAAGAUUGGUGCUUGCACCAAUUUGAAGAGCAGCGAACGGGUGAGUAACGCGUGGGGAAUCUGCCUUUGAGCGGGGGACAACAUUUGGAAACGAAUGCUAAUACCGCAUAACAACUUUAAACAUAAGAUUUAAGUUUGAAAGAUGCAAUUGCAUCACUCAAAGAUGAUCCCGCGUUGUAUUAGCUAGUUGGUGAGGUAAAGGCUCACCAAGGCGAUGAUACAUAGCCGACCUGAGAGGGUGAUCGGCCACACUGGGACUGGGACACGGCCCAAACCCCUACGGGAGGCAGCAGUAGGGAAUCUUCGGCAAUGGACGAAAGUCUGACCGAGCAACGCCGCGUGAGUGGAGAAGGGUAUCGGAUCGUAAAACUCUGUUGGUAGAGAAGAACGUUGGUGAGAGUGGAAAGCUCAUCAAGUGACGGUAACUACCCAGAAAGGGACGGCUAACUACGUG